GGACUUACUAAUAGUGUGACUUAUUGUGAUAAAAUUUGAUAAAUUAUUAGUGUGACUUAUUGUGAUAAAAUUUGAUAAAUUAAAUGAUGUAAUGGUGCUUUGUUAAGAGAAAAUACAAUGUGAGUGUGUGCCUUCAUUAGAGUUUAUAUUGGCACAUCAUAAGAGUUUAUUGUUAAAACAUAUGCUUUAGGACAAGAGGAGGAAGACCAAUAAAGUCAUCUCAAAAAGUUCAUGCAGUGGACUAUGGUUGGAAAUUGUCGUAGAGGCCGUGGUAGACGAGGUCCUAUUAUCUAGGUAUCUAUGUUCUUAGUUCCCUCUUUGCUUUUUAUUUAGCUUUCAAAGGUAGUCUACUUGUUUUAGAGUAUUCUAAAUCAUGUUGCUUUCACCAUAUUUUUCAAAAUUGUAUGAUAUUCUAAGAUCAUGGCUUGUUAUUUCGUUUAUGCAUUUCAAUUGGAA
RNAcentral lists this long non-coding RNA (456 nucleotides) under Brassica napus (rape). Its description in RNAcentral is "long non-coding RNA (BNAP_LNC014439)". Lineage: Eukaryota; Viridiplantae; Streptophyta; Magnoliopsida; Brassicales; Brassicaceae. The record is from RNAcentral.